RNAcentral lists this ribosomal RNA (247 nucleotides) under uncultured bacterium. Its description in RNAcentral is "partial 16S ribosomal RNA". It matches the Rfam family "Bacterial small subunit ribosomal RNA", at positions 523 to 769 of the family's 1533-position model. The record is from RNAcentral.
AUACGUAGGUGGCAAGCGUUGUCCGGACUUACUGGGUGUAAAGGGCGUGUAGCCGGGUGUGCAAGUCAGAUGUGAAAUCUGGAGGCUCAACCUCCAAACUGCAUUUGAAACUGUGCAUCUUGAGUAUCGGAGAGGUAAUCGGAAUUCCUUGUGUAGCGGUGAAAUGCGUAGAUAUUAGGAGGAACACCAGUGGCGAAGGCGACUUACUGGACGAUAACUGACGCUGAGGCUCGAAAGCGUGGGGAGC